Molecule: ribosomal RNA, 440 nt
Filed under: uncultured bacterium
Lineage: Bacteria
Description: partial 16S ribosomal RNA
Rfam family: Bacterial small subunit ribosomal RNA
Source: RNAcentral
CCUACGGGAGGCAGCAGUGAGGGAUAUUGGUCAAUGGGGGAAACUCUGAACCAGCAACGCCGCGUGAGGGAAGACGGUUUUCGGAUUGUAAACCUCUGUCCUCUGUGAAGAUAAUGACGGUAGUACAGAAGGAAGCACCCGCUAACUACGUGCCAGCAGCCGCGGUAAUACUUAGGGAGCAAGCGUUGUUCGGAUUUACGGGGUGUAAUGGGUGCGUAGGCGGCCCUGCAGGUCAGAAGUGAAAUCCAUGGGCUUAACCCGUGAACUGCUUUUGAAACUGUAGGGCUUGAGUGAAGUAGAGGCAGGCGGAAUUCCCGGUGUAGCGGUGAAAUGCGUAGAGAUCGGGAGGAACACCAGUGGCGAAGGCGACCUUCUGGGCUUUAACUGACGCUGAAGCACGAAAGCGUGGGUAGCAAACAGGAUUAGAUACCCCUGUAGUC